AGUGAACGCUGGCGGUAGGCCUAACACAUGCAAGUCGAACGGCAGCACAGUAAGAGCUUGCUCUUACGGGUGGCGAGUGGCGGACGGGUGAGGAAUACAUCGGAAUCUACUUUUUCGUGGGGGAUAACGUAGGGAAACUUACGCUAAUACCGCAUACGACCUACGGGUGAAAGCAGGGGAUCUUCGGACCUUGCGCGAUUGAAUGAGCCGAUGUCGGAUUAGCUAGUUGGCGGGGUAAAGGCCCACCAAGGCGACGAUCCGUAGCUGGUCUGAGAGGAUGAUCAGCCACAAUGGAACGGAGACACGGUCCAGACUACUACGGGAGGAGGCAGUGGGGAAUAUUGGACAAUGGGCGCAAGUCUGAUCCAGCCAUACCGCGUGGGUGAAGAAGGCCGUCGGGUUGUAAAGCCCUUUUGUUGGGAAAGAAAAGCAGCAGGUUAAUACCCCGCUGUUAUGACGGUACCCAAAGAAUAAACACCGGCUAACUUCG
Molecule: ribosomal RNA, 490 nt
Filed under: uncultured bacterium
Lineage: Bacteria
Description: partial 16S ribosomal RNA
Rfam family: Bacterial small subunit ribosomal RNA
Source: RNAcentral